GUCCACGCCCUAAACGAUGUCUACUAGUUGUUGGGGCUUUCGAGCCUUAGUAACGCAGCUAACGCGUGAAGUAGACCGCCUGGGGAGUACGGUCGCAAGAUUAAAACUCAAAGGAAUUGACGGGGACCCGCACAAGCGGUGGAUGAUGUGGAUUAAUUCGAUGCAACGCGAAAAACCUUACCUACACUUGACAUGCUAAGAAGUUCCUAGAGAUGGGAAUGUGCUUGAAAGAGAACUUAGACACAGGUGCUGCAUGGCU
This 259-nucleotide ribosomal RNA is filed under the name uncultured bacterium. Its description in RNAcentral is "partial 16S ribosomal RNA". It matches the Rfam family "Bacterial small subunit ribosomal RNA", at positions 793 to 1050 of the family's 1533-position model. The record is from RNAcentral.